AUGGGAGUGCCAAUCCUUUUGAUCAACCAAUUGUUCUUCAACGAUGUGCUUCUAUUUGAGAUAGUUCUAAUCCUCUUCAUCGUUUGCAAGACCAGUCCUCAGCUUUUCAACCGUUAUUCUUUUCAUCCGUCUGGAGCAUUAACUUUUCCCCACCCUCUCACCUUCUUUUUCUUCAAGAAGUUAGAGAUGAUCAAGUCAUGUGUUCUUUUCUUCACGUUAACCCUCUUCAUCCUUUUUCAUUCAACUCUGCCUACCUUAAAAAUAAUAUUUGUCUGCCUAUUUUUUGACACCAAAUCAAUAUGCUCGACGUUACUCACGGGCAAUUUCUUUUCCUCUUUUUCUUCUAGAUCGAAUUAUGUUCGUUUCAGAUUUCGAAGGAUCGGAAAGCAACAAGCAGGCGGUCCAAUCCAAGCGGCCGACGAAGAGGAGAGGGGGCUAGCCGGCUAG
Molecule: ribosomal RNA, 447 nt
Filed under: Triticum aestivum (bread wheat)
Lineage: Eukaryota; Viridiplantae; Streptophyta; Magnoliopsida; Poales; Poaceae
Description: partial small subunit ribosomal RNA
Source: RNAcentral